AGCGAACGCUGGCGGCAGGCCUAACACAUGCAAGUCGAACGAACUCUUCGGAGUUAGUGGCGGACGGGUGAGUAACACGUGGGAACGUGCCUUUUGGUUCGGAAUAACUCAGGGAAACUUGUGCUAAUACCGAAUGUGCCCUUCGGGGGAAAGAUUUAUCGCCAUUAGAGCGGCCCGCGUCUGAUUAGCUAGUUGGUGAGGUAACGGCUCACCAAGGCGACGAUCAGUAGCUGGUCUGAGAGGAUGACCAGCCACACUGGGACUGAGACACGGCCCAGACUCCUACGGGAGGCAGCAGUGGGGAAUCUUGCGCAAUGGGCGAAAGCCUGACGCAGCCAUGCCGCGUGAAUGAUGAAGGUCUUAGGAUUGUAAAAUUCUUUCACCGGGGACGAUAAUGACGGUACCCGGAGAAGAAGCCCCGGCUAACUUCGUA
This 433-nucleotide ribosomal RNA is filed under the name uncultured bacterium. Its description in RNAcentral is "partial 16S ribosomal RNA". It matches the Rfam family "Bacterial small subunit ribosomal RNA", at positions 29 to 507 of the family's 1533-position model. The record is from RNAcentral.